AGAGAUGUGUGAUGACGCAUAUCAAUAAGCGGAGGAAAAGAAACUAACAAGGAUUCCCUUAGUAACGGCGAGUGAAGCGGGAAGAGCUCAAAUUUGAAAUCUUCAAGGUUCUACCUUGACGAAUAGUAGUUUAUAGAAGUGUUUUCUGUUAGUAGAGGUGGCAAAAGUUCUUUGGAAUAGGACAUCAUAGAGGGUGAGAAUCCCGUAUUUGGUCAUUCUUUCUAGCUUUGUGAUACACUUUCAACGAGUCGGAUUGUUUGGGAAUGCAGUCCAAAAUGGGUGGUAAAUUUCAUCUAAAGCUAAAUAUUGGCGAGAGACCGAUAGCGAACAAGUACCGUGAGGGAAAGAUGAAAAGAACUUUGAAAAGAGAGUUAAACAGUACGUGAAAUUGUCAAAAGGGAAGCGUUUGACACCAGUGUUGUUUUUCCGAAAAUCAAUUACGAAUGUUUUGUUUUUAAGAAGUUAUGACUUCAUCGGCUUGCUUCUUUCUUUAUGAAACUUUCUUAAUGCACUUUUCGGUUAACAAGUCAACAUCAAUUUCUUUUGUUGUAAAAGGGUAUGAGGAAGGUGGCUUUCUUUUCGGAGAAAGUGUUUAUAGCCUUGUGCCUCUGCAAUCGGAGAGAUUGAGGUCUGCAGCGUAGAUCCUUCGGGGUUAGAUAGCAUUUGUGCUAAGUUAUAGCUUUUCAUAGACAACUUGUUGACUAUGAUUAGUCAUUGUAGCUUACUCGCUUAUGUCAUUUUACCUACGCUUAGGAUGUUGAGUCGUAGAGCACGCAG
Molecule: ribosomal RNA, 777 nt
Filed under: uncultured Neocallimastigales
Lineage: Eukaryota; Fungi; Neocallimastigomycota; Neocallimastigomycetes; Neocallimastigales
Description: partial large subunit ribosomal RNA
Rfam family: Eukaryotic large subunit ribosomal RNA
Source: RNAcentral